CUUGUACUUUAAAGACUGCAAGCCAGACUGGUACAAAGAAGUCCUAGCUUCAGAGAAUUAAGCCCUGAGGCACAAAGGCCAGAUCUGUACUUGAAAAAGCUCCUUUGUGUUGCUACGCUGGCAAACUCUCCUAGAAGGAAUGAAGCAUAGGUAAUGCCACACAGAGGAGCAAGAGAGUUUUAAAAUAGGUAUUUGUACACCAGGACUUACAUGGAUAAAAGAGAGGCUGCAUAAAAGCUGUUUGGUCACUGAAUAACCUUGCUGCACAGGCAAAAAUUUCCGAAUGGCCAAGCAGAGGCAGGUCUGAGCAGAUCAAGUUCCAUCCAGCUCUGGGAGCCAGGCUGAGACCUCACUGUAAGGCAUGGAGAUGCUGCAGAGGACUCUCUCAACUGCAGUGUGAUGGUGACAUCUGCUCUGGUCAAUAAAGGCUUCAGUCUCUGCUUCAGAUGCCAGAUGAGUCAUCCAUGAAACAUCCAUUAGGACACAGACCUCAGGUGUGAAAAAAGACAACAAACACUGCGGAGACCUUCUGAAGUAGAAGUGAUUUAAGCCAUGAUACCUACUUGCUUAGAAAUAACUGAUAAAAUCAGUGAUAUGAUUUCUUGUGAUAGCCUGCCUGUUUUGAGGCAGGAAGAUGCAGCCUUGAAAUGUCAGAUUCAAUGCUAUUAACCCUGUAGUGUUGUGCUAACAGAUAGCUAUUUGAGCAAGAGUAUUGUGCCAUCUGUCUGGAGGGUAGGAGUUAAACACCUGUCUGAAUUCUGCCUGGAACAGUAUUGGGAAUGGUGCUGAACACGGCGUGGAAAGGAAAUUUUCUCUGGAGGAAAUGCACGUUGGCCACAUAGAAGAUGGUGCUGACCCAGUUGCUAUUGGGAAUUUGGUGAUGCAGAGCAUAGAGGCAGCAAUGGAAUUUCACUACCCUGAGGAGGUGCUGAGCACAUUCAGAUGUCUUCAAAGACAGUGAGGUACCCAGAGCACCAUGCAUCCCCCUGCAC
This 992-nucleotide long non-coding RNA is filed under the name Chrysolophus pictus (golden pheasant). RNAcentral describes it as "lncRNA (ENSCPIG00010013647.1)". Lineage: Eukaryota; Metazoa; Chordata; Aves; Galliformes; Phasianidae. The record is from RNAcentral.